AAAUCACAGGAGCUAGUGAAAAUUACCUUUUGCUUGCUUCUUCUUACGUCUGUGUAUAUCGCUCUACCUUUUAAGAGUAUUUGUUUGCAUACAUGGGUAGUAACAGCUCUAAUAGCAGCACUUCUUUCAGGAAAGGCUGGAGGGAGAAAUGCCACACUUGUCAGUGAAUGAUAAAUGUAUUGAAUAAAGGUUAAUUACUCUGCGAUGCACAGAGCAGCCGAAAGCACAGAUGAAUGCACCAUGGAGACAAACCUUAAAGUGGGAUCAGAGCUGGCCUUAAAUGCUGGAAGAAAUGGUGAAAAUGCAGUUUUUGUAGGCUAAGAAUUCAGUUGCAGAUGAUAAAUUUUCCUGUCCAUGUUUGUACAAGAAAUGCCAGACAAAUCGCAGAAAGGAGAGCUGGAAGGGGUGUUCAGAGAACAUCUAGUCUCUACUUGCUGCCUCAAAGGUCAGGUUGCAGAGCAGCGAUGUCUCGGCUAUGCUGGAAGAUGAUCAACUGAUGGAAAUUCCACAAUCUAUAUUUAAUCAUCUCUAGCACUUUGCUGUCGUGGAAAGC
Oxyura jamaicensis (ruddy duck) is the source of this 553-nucleotide long non-coding RNA. RefSeq lists it as uncharacterized. Lineage: Eukaryota; Metazoa; Chordata; Aves; Anseriformes; Anatidae. The transcript is spliced from 2 exons. The record is from RefSeq and is a predicted model, not a curated record.